AUUGAACGCUGGCGGCAGGCCUAACACAUGCAAGUCGAGCGGAUGAAGGGAGCUUGCUCCUGGAUUCAGCGGCGGACGGGUGAGUAAUGCCUAGGAAUCUGCCUGGUAGUGGGGGAUAACGUCCGGAAACGGGCGCUAAUACCGCAUACGUCCUGAGGGAGAAAGUGGGGGAUCUUCGGACCUCACGCUAUCAGAUGAGCCUAGGUCGGAUUGACUAGUUGGUGGGUAAAGGCCUACCAAAGCGACGAUUCGUAAACGGUAUCAGAGGAUGGUCAGUCACACUGGAACUGAGACACGGCCCAGACUCCUACGGGAGGCAGCAGUCGGGAAUAUUGGACGAUGGGCGAAAGCCUGAUCCAGCCAUACCGCGUGUGUGAAGAAGGUCUUCGGAUUGUAAAGCACUGUAAGUUGGGAGGAAGGGCAGUAAGUUAAUCACUGGCUGUUUUGACGUUACCAACAGAAUAAGCACCGGCUAACUUCGUG
This 483-nucleotide ribosomal RNA is filed under the name uncultured bacterium. RNAcentral's name for it is "partial 16S ribosomal RNA". It matches the Rfam family "Bacterial small subunit ribosomal RNA", at positions 30 to 507 of the family's 1533-position model. The record is from RNAcentral.